GCUGGGGUGGCGGAACUGGCAGACGCACAGGACUUAAAAUCCUGCGGGGGCGACCCCGUACCGGUUCGAUUCCGGUCCUCAGCA
This 84-nucleotide transfer RNA is filed under the name Streptococcus rupicaprae. RNAcentral describes it as "tRNA-Leu". It matches the Rfam family "tRNA". Rfam says of the family: Transfer RNA (tRNA) molecules are approximately 80 nucleotides in length. The record is from RNAcentral. Lineage: Bacteria; Bacillati; Bacillota; Bacilli; Lactobacillales; Streptococcaceae. RNAcentral also lists the same sequence under 1 other name.